Molecule: long non-coding RNA, 611 nt
Filed under: Phoenix dactylifera (date palm)
Lineage: Eukaryota; Viridiplantae; Streptophyta; Magnoliopsida; Arecales; Arecaceae
Description: long non-coding RNA (PDAC_LNC015499)
Source: RNAcentral
AAGUUAGGCAAGUUGAAAGAUAAAACAAAAUCAAUUCAUUUUGCCUAAAUAGAGAUAUACUUCUCUUUUCCUUUUUACAAAUUUAUUCAACUUUCAGAUUUCAAAGAUGAUUGUGAACGACAAAUCUAAAAUUUCUUUUCAAUAAUACCAUAAAAUAACUUCAUAUAGUAUUUCAAAUAUUCAAUCAAAUUAUCCAAGUAUGGAGCAUUACAAAAUAUUGAGAACCCAUAAUUCAAAACAUCAUGCCGCAUGCAAAAUAUAUUAUGUGUUAAGUCAUGCAUUAAAAUAUUAAGAACAAGCAUGUUAAUGAUCAAAAUCAAUUCUUUUCAAAUAAACUCCUCCUAUUUAAAUAUAAUCUUGCACUGAUUUCAUCCUUAAAGUAUGUUUUUAAGUGAUUAAAAAUUUGACUUGAUUCUUCUUAUAUACUUUCAUUUACUUUGUCUUUCAUUUUUACUUUCUUAUGCUUUAUACUCUAUUUGCUCCCUAUCCGGUGGAGUUGGAAGGGGCACGAGGUACUACCACUAGCCUCCCUCUUGUGCCGUCCCUAAUAUACCCUACACCGAAUAGUUGGGUCAAAUAGUGCCGGGUAGUACCACUAGCCUCCCCAUUGG